UGUAGGAUUUUUCUUCUCAGUCACUUUGCAAGCCAGGGACCCUCGAUCGAUGACGCCCCGCCCGGGCCUUGCUCUGCCACGCUGCAUGCCCCAGCUCGCCUGUGUGAUAGCUUGUACCCACGUUCAGUGGUUCCUGAGCUUUUGCACCCUGCCCAAGAAGAAUGAGGAUAUGCUGGACAUUGAAGGGGGUGGCCUUGUUUGAUGUUGCUGUUUUAUGAAAUUACACUAUCCAUGUACAACAUAAGGAAAAUGUGACCCAGCUGAGAGCGCCAGGCCAGAUUCUGGCAACACCGAUGUCUGGAUGUCAGUGCCAAACCAGCUCCCUGAUGUGAGGCUCUGCUUUUUUUUUUUUCUCUCUCUCUCUGUUUUUCUGUUUCAACACAUCACACUACGUUAUAUCUUGCAUUAAAAUUGCAAUGUAUGCCUGCCUCUUUCACUAGACUGAGACCCUAGAGAGCUGCUACUUGUAUUUUUUCUCCUUUAUAUUACCUGUGACAUAUAGUCUUAUAACUUC
RNAcentral lists this long non-coding RNA (514 nucleotides) under Homo sapiens (human). RNAcentral describes it as "non-protein coding lnc-TRIB2-4:2". Lineage: Eukaryota; Metazoa; Chordata; Mammalia; Primates; Hominidae. The record is from RNAcentral.